UACGAAGGGGGCUAGCGUUGUUCGGAGUUACUGGGCGUAAAGGGCGCGUAGGCGGCGCACCAAGUCAGGCGUGAAAGCCCUGGGCUCAACCCGGGAAUUGCGCUUGAGACUGGUGUGCUUGAGUACGGGAGAGGAUAGUGGAAUUCCCAGUGUAGAGGUGAAAUUCGUAGAUAUUGGGAAGAACACCGGUGGCGAAGGCGGCUAUCUGGACCGAAACUGACGCUGAGGCACGAAAGCGUGGGGAGCAAACAGG
RNAcentral lists this ribosomal RNA (253 nucleotides) under uncultured bacterium. Its description in RNAcentral is "partial 16S ribosomal RNA". It matches the Rfam family "Bacterial small subunit ribosomal RNA", at positions 524 to 776 of the family's 1533-position model. The record is from RNAcentral.